AAGCGGAGGAAAAGAAAAUAACAAUGAUUCCCUCAGUAACGGCGAGCGAAGAGGGAUAAGCUCAAAUUUUAAAUCUGUUGGGUUCCACUUAACAGAGUUGUAUUUUGAAGAAACGUUUUCUGCGUCCAGGAUUAGCCUAAAUCCUUUGGGAUAAGGUAUCAUGGAGGGUGAGAAUCCCGUUCAUGGUUAAUCUUAAGGAAGCUCUACGAUACGUUUUCCAAGAGUCGAGUUGUUUGGGAUUGCAGCUCAAAAUGGGAGGUAAAUUUCUCCUAAGGCUAAAUAUUGGCGAGAGACCGAUAGCGAACAAGUACCGUGAGGGAAAGAUGAAAAGAACUUUGAAAAGAGAGUUAAACAGUACGUGAAAUUGUUGAAAGGGAAACGAUUGAAGUCAGUCAUACCAACGGGAAAUCAACCUUUUGAGCUCGGUCUCGUGGGUUUUGAAGAGUUUCAAAGCCUUCGGAUUCGCGGGAUUGGGAUCUCUUGGUGUACUUUUUCGUACGGUUAGUCAACAUCGGUUUUGAAUGUCAUAAAAUGACUGGAGGAAUGUAGCUUCGAUCUCGUAUUGAAGUGUUAUAGCCUUUGGUAGAUGUGAUGUUUGAGACCGAGGAUUGCAACGGAUACCCUUCAGGGCUAUUCGUCUGAUCUCUGAUACGUUGCCUUGAUGUUGAAAGCUUGCUUAUGAUGUUAGGGUAUUACGGUCAAAAGGUUAGAACGAAUUACAUUCGUUAAGGAUGUUGACGUAAUGACUUU
RNAcentral lists this ribosomal RNA (750 nucleotides) under uncultured Glomeromycotina. Its description in RNAcentral is "eukaryotic LSU rRNA". It matches the Rfam family "Eukaryotic large subunit ribosomal RNA", at positions 48 to 641 of the family's 3401-position model. Lineage: Eukaryota; Fungi; Glomeromycota. The record is from RNAcentral.